GACAGAGGGUGCAAACGUUGUUCGGAAUUACUGGGCGUAAAGAGCGUGUAGGCGGCUUGGUAGGUCCGCUGUGAAAACUCGAGGCUCAACCUCGAGAUGUCGGCGGAAACCACUUGGCUAGAGUCCGGAAGAGGAGAGUGGAAUUCCCGGUGUAGCGGUGAAAUGCGUAGAUAUCGGGAGGAAUACCGAUGGCGAAGGCAGGUCUCUGGGCUGACACUGACGCUCAUGCACGAAAGCGUGGGGAGCAAACAGG
This 253-nucleotide ribosomal RNA is filed under the name uncultured bacterium. RNAcentral describes it as "partial 16S ribosomal RNA". It matches the Rfam family "Bacterial small subunit ribosomal RNA", at positions 524 to 776 of the family's 1533-position model. The record is from RNAcentral.